Molecule: ribosomal RNA, 483 nt
Filed under: uncultured bacterium
Lineage: Bacteria
Description: partial 16S ribosomal RNA
Rfam family: Bacterial small subunit ribosomal RNA
Source: RNAcentral
GACGAACGCUGGCGGCGUGCUUAACACAUGCAAGUCGAACGAUGAAGCUGGAGCUUGCUCCGGUGGAUUAGUGGCGAACGGGUGAGUAACACGUGAGCAAUCUGCCCUUGACUCUGGGAUAACUGCGGGAAACUGUAGCUAAUACCGGAUACGAGGCUCGAAGGCAUCUUCGGGUCUGGAAAGAAUUUCGGUCAAGGAUGAGCUCGCGGUCUAUCAGCUUGUUGGUGAGGUAAUGGCUCACCAAGGCGACGACGGGUAGCCGGCCUGAGAGGGUGACCGGCCACACUGGGGCUGAGACACGGCCCAGACUCCUACGGGAGGCAGCAGUGGGGAAUUUUGCACAAUGGGCGAAAGCCUGAUGCAGCAACGCCGCGUGAGGGAUGAAGACCUUCGGGUUGUAAACAUCUUUUAGCAGGGAAGAAGCGAAAGUGACGGUACCUGCAGAAAAAGCACCGGCUAACUACGUGCCAGCCGCCGCCGUAA